UACAGAGGUCUCAACCGUUGUUCGGAUUCAUUGGGCGUAAAGGGUGCGUAGGCGGUCGCGCAAGUCGGAUGUGAAAUCUCAGGGCUCAACCCUGAAACUGCAUUCGAUACUGCGUGGCUAGAGUGCUGGAGAGGAGACUGGAAUUUACGGUGUAGCAGUGAAAUGCGUAGAUACCGUAAGGAAGACCAGUGGCGAAGGCGAGUCUCUGGACAGCAACUGACGCUGAGGCACGAAGGCCAGGGGAGCAAACGGG
RNAcentral lists this ribosomal RNA (253 nucleotides) under uncultured bacterium. RNAcentral's name for it is "partial 16S ribosomal RNA". It matches the Rfam family "Bacterial small subunit ribosomal RNA", at positions 524 to 776 of the family's 1533-position model. The record is from RNAcentral.